UACGUAGGGUCCGAGCGUUGUCCGGAAUUACUGGGCGUAAAGAGCUCGUAGGUGGUUUGUCGCGUUGUCCGUGAAAACUCACAGCUCAACUGUGGGCGUGCGGGCGAUACGGGCAGACUGGAGUACUGCAGGGGAGACUGGAAUUCCUGGUGUAGCGGUGAAAUGCGCAGAUAUCAGGAGGAACACCGGUGGCGAAGGCGGGUCUCUGGGUAGUAACUGACGCUGAGGAACGAAAGCGUGGGUAGCGAACAGG
Molecule: ribosomal RNA, 253 nt
Filed under: uncultured bacterium
Lineage: Bacteria
Description: partial 16S ribosomal RNA
Rfam family: Bacterial small subunit ribosomal RNA
Source: RNAcentral